RNAcentral lists this ribosomal RNA (883 nucleotides) under Gordionus alpestris. RNAcentral's name for it is "SSU rRNA". It matches the Rfam family "Eukaryotic small subunit ribosomal RNA", at positions 57 to 951 of the family's 1831-position model. The record is from RNAcentral. Lineage: Eukaryota; Metazoa; Nematomorpha; Gordioida; Chordodea; Parachordodidae.
GUCUAAGUUAUAAACUUACUCAAAGUGAAACCGCGUAAUGGCUCAUUAAAUCAGUUAUGGUUUAUUAGAUCGUACGUACCACAUGGAUAACUGUGGUAAUUCUAGAGCUAAUACAUGCUUAAAAGUCGAAUCGCGAGGUUCGGCCGCUUUUAUUAGAACAAAAACUAACCGUUUUUGGUGACUCUGGAUAACUUUGUGCCGAUCGCACGGUCUCGUACCGGCGACGUAUCUUUCAAAUGUCUGCCUUAUCAACUGUCGAUGGUAGGUUAUAUGCCUACCAUGGUCGUAACGGGUAACGGAGAAUCAGGGUUCGAUUCCGGAGAGGGAGCCUGAGAAACGGCUACCACAUCCAAGGAAGGCAGCAGGCGCGCAAAUUACCCACUCCCGGCGCGGGGAGGUAGUGACGAUAAAUAACAAUGCAGGUCUCUCACGAGACCCUGUAAUUGGAAUGAGAUCACUUUAAAUCCUUUAACGAGGAUCUAUUGGAGGGCAAGUCUGGUGCCAGCAGCCGCGGUAAUUCCAGCUCCAAAAGCGUAUAUUAAAGUUGUUGCAGUUAAAAAGCUCGUAGUUGGAUCUCGGGUAACGGGAGGAAGCCCGCUUCACCGCGAUCGUUUCCUCGUCCGACCUAUAAUUCGUCCUGUCUUAGAUGCUCUUCACCGAGUGUCUUAGGUAGAACGGAACUUUUACUUUGAAAAAAUUAGAGUGCUCAAAGCAGGCUCGACGCCUCGAAUAUCGAUGCAUGGAAUAAUGGAAUAGGACCUCGGUUCUAUUUUGUUGGUUUUCGGAAUCCGAGGUAAUGAUUAAGAGGAACGGACGGGGGCAUCCGUACUGUGGCGCUAGAGGUGAAAUUCUUGGACCGCCGCAAGACGAACAACUGCGAAAG